RNAcentral lists this ribosomal RNA (486 nucleotides) under uncultured bacterium. Its description in RNAcentral is "partial 16S ribosomal RNA". It matches the Rfam family "Bacterial small subunit ribosomal RNA", at positions 30 to 507 of the family's 1533-position model. The record is from RNAcentral.
AUUGAACGCUGGCGACAUGCCUUACACAUGCAAGUCGAACGGCAGCACGGGUGCUUGCACCUGGUGGCGAGUGGCGAACGGGUGAGUAAUACAUUGGAACAUGUCCUGUAGUGGGGGAUAGCCCGGCGAAAGCCGGAUUAAUACCGCAUACGAUCUACGGAUGAAAGCGGGGGACCUUCGGGCCUCGCGCUAUAGGGUUGGCCGAUGGCUGAUUAGCUAGUUGGUGGGGUAAAGGCCUACCAAGGCGACGAUCAGUAGCUGGUCUGAGAGGACGACCAGUCACACUGGGACUGAGACACGGCCCAGACUCCUACGGGAGGCAGCAGUGGGGAAUUUUGGACAAUGGGCGAAAGCCUGAUCCAGCAAUGCCGCGUGUGUGAAGAAGGCCUUCGGGUUGUAAAGCACUUUUGUCCGGAAAGAAAUCCUUGGCCCUAAUACGGUCGGGGGAUGACGGUACCGGAAGAAUAAGCACCGGCUAACUACGUG